GUAGGUGGCAAGCGUUGUCCGGAAUUAUUGGGCGUAAAGCGCGCGCAGGCGGUCCUUUAAGUCUGAUGUGAAAGCCCACGGCUCAACCGUGGAGGGUCAUUGGAAACUGGGGGACUUGAGUACAGAAGAGGAAAGCGGAAUUCCAAGUGUAGCGGUGAAAUGCGUAGAGAUUUGGAGGAACACCAGUGGCGAAGGCGGCUUUCUGGUCUGGAACUGACGCUGAGGCGCGAAAGCGUGGGGAGCAAACAGGAUUAGAUACCCUGGUAGUCCACGCCGUAAACGAUGAGUGCUAAGUGUUAGGGGGUUUCCGCCCCUUAGUGCUGCGGCUAACGCAUUAAGCACUCCGCCUGGGGAGUACGGCCGCAAAGGCUG
Molecule: ribosomal RNA, 372 nt
Filed under: uncultured organism
Description: partial 16S ribosomal RNA
Rfam family: Bacterial small subunit ribosomal RNA
Source: RNAcentral